GGAUAUUAUUUAUAUGAUCGCUUAGAACAGGCAAUUAAUUUUAAUUAAUUGCCUGUUAAAAUGUGAUUUCUCCUCUGUAACAGUUUGGGUCUUACAUUUGCUUUUGAAUUUUAACUCAAGCUAAACUCAGUUACUGCUUUCACUUUUCACCAUAUUUUUGAUAUUCCUAAUUAGAUGUAUUGCAACAUCCUUACUGAACUCUCUACAUUAUGUCUUUUCAAAUUAUCAUUCAGCGCUAACCCAGCAAACAUGCUUUCAGCGGACCGCGAUGCGCAAAGCCGCCGCCGGAAUGCCGGUGCUGGCCCUUUGUGAUUCCUAAUGCGGCUUACCGCUGCCGGGUAGCUGAUGUAGGACCGGCAUGCUAAUUUGUGUUGACUUUCCGCCAUCGGCCGAAGAGCGAUAAAACACCUCGUUGCCAAUGCGAUUUUAAAUAGGCAUGCCACCUUCGAUAAUAGCUGUGGCAAGUAAAAGAGGCCAGACUUUAAAGGAGGCUGUCCAGAGAAUGUCCUUUGCGUUAUUCACUAAUAACCUCUGCUGUAAACUUAACUGGUCUGGUAUUACCAUAAAUGACAAUAAAAGUAACUUUGUAAAACAAAGACUUACACUUGCUUAAAAGAGCUGUAAAAAGAAAUCCUGCAACAACUUCAGCAACUGAAUCAGAUUUUCAAUAUGAGGUUGUGCGUUUUUUGCGUAGUGCAUCAGACUGCAAUGGCAGAAAAAAAGUUAGACAAGACCAAAAAAACAAACAAGCCGAGAAAAUGAUGUCUACAUCAUGUUUUCCAAUGCCAUUAAAUAAUUUAGUUCAGAAGAUGAAUAACAUUGCUAAAUAAAAUAAGCAUCUUUAUUUACAUAUUUGUUAUCUUUAUUUUACAAUAUUUUAUAUAUUUUUAAACUCAAUGGAGUAAAGUUUUUGUGUAAUGAGUAUUAUUGAUCUGUGUUUUUCAUAUUCAUUCCCUUUUACAGUAACCUUUUGUAUAUGAGAUUGUAGAUGAGAAUUUAAAUCGUGAUAUUGAAUCUUACCAGAGAAUAAAGUAAAAUUAAUUUUAUUAUUUUGAUAUUUAUUUAAUUUUAUUAUUUUGAUAUUAUUUGAUUUAAUGUUAUUUUUGAAGAAAAUCCAAAAUAUAAGUUCUGGAGUCUGUCUACUGUUUGAUUUGUUUGAUUAUAUUAAAUUUAAAAAUAACUAUAAGCUUUAAAAUAUAAAGUUAUUGAUGGAAAGCUAAAUUAACUUGGUAUUUAACCAGUGAAGCAGAUAAAUAAAAAUCUAACAAAAUUUUUAUUUUACAAGCCAUUAUUUUAAACGAUUGCUUUAACAAUUCUGUUUAAACACGCUUGUAAUUUAAUGUUACAUUUAUGAUUUAAUAUUAUUUCUUUACAGGAAAUCGUUUAUCUCAACCAGAGUUAUAUUUCAUAGAAUUAUGUUGACCAUGAUCCAAAUAUUGCCAUGGGUAUAAGAUAGAUGUUUGAUUUGCAAACUGGAUUUAAAUCAUAUUUUCUUUAAACAUAUUUAUUAUUAAUAAAUAUGUUUAAAGGAAAUAAAUAAUUUAUUAGAAAAAAAUUAUAUACUUAUUUACUAAACCGUUUUAUUUCAAUCAAUUAUUUGAUUUUUUAUAUUUUUCAAGGAAUUUUUAUAGUAUAUUUUAUUGCACUGUUUUUUUUUUUUGUAUGGUGAAAACUAUGUUCAAUUUACAAACUAUAUUUUAGUUUAUCAAAAUAUAUUUUUAUUGAUGUGUUCUGUCUCUGAUUCUUUCUUUUUCAGAUGUGCACUUGUGUUUUAGGCUUAUGCUUUGCAAAAGGUUCACCAUCGCCCUUAAGUUGCUGUGGGUUUUACGGUUUUACUUUCAACCUGGCAUAUAAAUGCACUUAGUAUCUAAAGUUAUUUGUCAAUAACUGGUGAUCAGACUCUCAAACGAACACGUUUUUAAGGGCUGAGAAGGUGAAAGUUAGAAGUCUGCAGACUGCAACGUAAAUCAAUUUUCAACACAUGGUUUCCUGAAUAUAUUUAGUUUUCGAUUGAAAUG
Hydra vulgaris (swiftwater hydra) is the source of this 2018-nucleotide long non-coding RNA. RefSeq lists it as uncharacterized. The record is from RefSeq and is a predicted model, not a curated record. Lineage: Eukaryota; Metazoa; Cnidaria; Hydrozoa; Anthoathecata; Hydridae.